RNAcentral lists this long non-coding RNA (6020 nucleotides) under Brassica napus (rape). RNAcentral describes it as "long non-coding RNA (BNAP_LNC000385)". Lineage: Eukaryota; Viridiplantae; Streptophyta; Magnoliopsida; Brassicales; Brassicaceae. The record is from RNAcentral.
UUCUCCGUUUAACAGUCUCUCGCCGGCGGUAACUUUUUCCGGCGAUGAAACUUCUCUUCCUCAUUCCUCACCGUGAUUUCUAAACCUCCUUCUCUCUCAUCUUAUCACGUGAUCAACAGACUUUAUACUGUUUCUUGUCAAUCUUUUAUAAACCUUUUGUAAACUUUUCCGACAGAGACACAAGAUGUUGGAUCUUAACCUCGACGCUGACUCUCCCGAGUCAACUCAGUACGGUGACUCGUACGCAGAUCGGAAAACAUCAGACGGCUCCGGGAACCGGUCAGAGACGUCCACGUCGUCGGUCAUCAAUGCUGAAGCUGACGACGACUCUUGCUCGACUCGUGCUUUUACUCUAAAUUUCGAUAUUUUAAAAGUCGGAAGCAGCGGCGACGGCUGUGGCGGUGGCGGAGAUGAAAGCACCGCCGUGACUAAAGAGUUUUUCCCGGUGGCUGGAGACUGUGGGCAUCUACGAGGGUCGAGCUCUAGAAGCUGGAUAGAUCUCUCUUUCGAUGGCUCGAGGCAAGGAGAAACAAACUUAGUGGCUCCGGCGCCGGCGCCGGCUCCGGUGAAAAAGAGUCGGAGAGGACCGAGGUCAAGGAGUUCGCAGUACAGAGGAGUUACCUUCUACCGAAGAACUGGUAGAUGGGAGUCACAUAUAUGGUAAAAGCCAAUUAAAACUCCCUGACUUCUUAUUUAAAAUUUCAUUAAUUCAACUUUUUAUUUUAGUUUCUGAAACUGAUUAAAAAUUAAAAACCUUUAUUUGUACUUUGUGAAAUUCGAUUAAAAUCCAAAAACUCUGUUUUGGUUUUUAUUAUUUGCAGGGAUUGUGGGAAACAAGUCUAUUUAGGUAAAAGAUUUAAAUUUUCAUUAUUUUAGUUCUUGAUUUCAUUUUUAACAAUCUUCUUGAUUUUUCACGUAUAGGUGGUUUUGACACUGCUCAUGCCGCGGCUAGGUAAAGUUUUAGAUCAUUUUUCAGCAUUGUUUGUGUCUUUUGAUGAUUAUGAUCUUAUUUCUUUUUAUAUAUAUUUAGAGCUUAUGAUCGAGCUGCUAUCAAAUUUAGAGGAGUUGAUGCUGAUAUCAACUUCACUCUCGGCGAUUACGAGGAAGAUAUGAAACAGGUUUAGUUUUUAUAUUAUUUGUGUCAUCUAGUAAAAUCCUUUCUUUCAUGGAAAAUGUUAAUUGAGUGUUUGCCCCUCUCAACAGGUUCAAAACUUAAGCAAGGAAGAGUUUGUGCACAUACUCCGUCGACAGAGCACAGGUUUCUCUCGGGGAAGCUCCAAGUACCGAGGAGUUACAUUACACAAAUGUGGGAGAUGGGAAGCUAGGAUGGGUCAGUUUCUUGGUAAAAAGUGAGCCAACUUUUUCUCUCUUUGAUCUGAGCACUUAGAAGUAAUGUUAAAUGACUAGAAAAUGGUGUCUUAGUAAUUGAAACCAAAAGUGGUGAGAUUGUUAAAAUGUUUUGGGGAUUUUUAAGAUGGGUUGAAUUGCAGGUAUGUUUACCUUGGGCUGUUCGACAGCGAAGUAGAAGCUGCAAGGUCAUAUUAAAACAAUGAUCAUGAAUCUUUUACUUGUUUUGCCAGAGAAAAUAAAAAACUUUCUAUUCUUAAAGUUUUGUACCUCUUUAAGAAGAACUCCACUAGAGCUCUUUUUUUAACUCUUUCUGAACACUUUGUUCUUGAAAACAGGGCUUAUGAUAAGGCUGCGAUAAGCUCUAAUGGUAGGGAAGCAGUUACCAACUUCGAGCUUAGUUCAUACCAGAAUGAGACUAACUCUGAGACCAAUAACCAAGGUAACGUACAUAAUCUAGUGUAAUACUUUAAUCAUCAGUCUAUAAAACACAGCUUAUGAUUGUUGUUUUAUUUAUUUAUGAAGGUGCUCAUGACAAGCUUGAUCUCAGCUUGGGAAUGUCUCUUUCCCCCGGGAAUGCGUCAAAGCAAAACGGAAGGCUCUUUCAUUACCCUUCUAAUACUUAUGAAACUCAGCGUGGAGUUAGUUUAACGGUAAUUUCUCAACACCAAUCUCUGAAAAAAUCAUGAAAACGUUUAGUUAUUGUCUUACAACGCUUGCAGAUAGGUAAUGAGUUCAUGGGAAAGCCGGUGAACGCACCUCUUCCUUAUGGUUCAUCGGACCAUCGCGCUUACUGGAACGGUUAUAACAACCCUGUCGAGGUAAAAAAAAAUAAUAAUCUGAAAUGUAACCAGAAAAAACUAUGUAAAAACCAUACAAUGAGAUAAUGUUUGUUUGCUUGUUUCUUAUGUUUUGGUUUCCAGGGAAGGGCAACAGAGAAGAGAAGUGAAGCUGAAGGAGGAGGGAUGAUGAGUAACUGGGGAUGGCAAGGACCAGGCCAAACCAGCGCCAUGAGACCGCAACCACCAGGCCCACAACCACAGUUGUUCUCAGUUGCAGCAGCAUCAUCAGGAUUCUCUAAUUUCCGGCAACAACCUCCCAAUGACAAUGCCUCCUCUCUUGGUUACUUUUAUCCACAACCUUAACUUACAGAGGAGGCUUUAAAACUAUGAGUGUUAUGGUAACUGGAUUAUUUAUAAAAUGGGAUAUGCUUUUCUUUAUCGUCGAUGUGAAACAUGUUCUUCCGUGUACCUUGGUAAAGAGAACACGACUCUUGGAAACUGUAAGGCAAAAGUUUUGUAAAUAACAUAAAAAGUAAAAUUAUUGUCGGUAUAUUUACUUAUAUACUCAUAUCAUUAAUAUAUAAUUAACAUAACAUAUACUUAUUUCAUUGUUAACAACAUUAUUAUAAAAUGUUUUUUGUUGAAACAGUAGACCUGAACAUUAGAAUUUAAUUCUACCUAAAUAAAAAUCGAUUAGAUCUAAAUUAAAAAAAAAACAAAACCAAUUUAACUAAUUCAAACUAUUUAAAAGCUAUUAGUUAAAUUAAAUCAGAUCGGAUAGAUUAAAUUGAAUCAAUUAAAUCGAGUCGGUUUUCUAUUUGAAAUAUAUCAGUUUACUAAUAUUGAACGAACCCAUUUAUUCGAUCCACAUUUUUCGACAAAUAAAAUAAUCCAUACAUCCAAUCCACAUUUUUGAAAAUAAAAUAUGAUUAUGAGGUUAAUUACAUAAUAUAUAUCAUCAUACUAACUAUAUAGUUAUUGUAAUUGGAGACAGUAAUUUUUAAGUAUAAAUGUGUAGCCAUGAUGUUUAUUAUUGGUGCAACAGAUUUCACCAAUAAAACAAACUGAGAAUUGGGUUUUUGUCGGUACGUGAUUUGGUUAUUUGAUAUAUCUAAUAGCAAUAAUUGAAAAGAACAACAGUAAAGAGAGGGAUAGUGAUAGGAUGUGACAACUUUGGCUGCCUCUUCGGAACCCCAAAGGAUUCGUGGAGAAAACAUUAGCUUUCCAUUUGUAUACAUAUAUUCGGAUAUGACCAAAAUAUAUACUUAUAUUCUAAAAUCACGUGUCAAAUAUAGUAACUUAGCUAUCUAUAUACGAUUGAGAGUUGUCAUAAAUAACGUAGUACCUAACCAUAUACUAGUACUAGGCCUGGGACGGAUCGGAUAUCCGGGUAAUUUUAAGGUAUCCGGAUCCGGAUCCUUAUCCGGCGGAUCCAUAAUUUUAUUAUCCUUAUCCGGAUCCGGGGUUCUCGGAUAUCCGGGUGUCGGAUAUCCUUCUAAAAAUUGUAAUAUCCGGCGGAUAUCCGGAUCCGGAUUUGGAUCCUUAAAAUAAAUAAAAAAUAAUAUUAAUAUAUAUAAAAUAUUAACAAUAAUUUAAAAAUAAAAANNNNNNNNNNNNNNNNNNNNNNNNNNNNNNNNNNNNNNNNNNNNNNNNNNNNNNNNNNNNNNNNNNNNNNNNNNNNNNNNNNNNNNNNNNNNAAGAGUUUUAAUAAAUCUAUUUUAAAAAGUUGUUUGGACUCUUUCAUUUAACUCAUUAUUUUUUGGUCUUACCUUAAAUUUAGACUAACAAUAUGUUACCAUAUAUUUCUCUAACAAUAAUUUAUUUAAUUUCUUUAUUUAUUCACUACUAUUACUAUAUUUACCAUUUUGAUUUUUAAUCGUAAAAGCAUUGAAACUAAUGUUUUAUAUUAUCAUUUUUAUCAUAUAAUAUAUGAUUUAAAGCAAGAGAAGUUAUUCGACAUAUAUGUGUACAUUCUAACUUCUUCUUUCUUUUAUAAUAAAGUAAUCAUAUCAUAUAUAAAUUUUCGCACUAAAAUCUCAUAUCAUAUAGUAAACUUUCAACCGUCUAUGGUUUGAUAGAUAUUUUCAUAUCUAAAAAUGAGUUUUCUGAAUAUUCAUGUUACCUUCACAAAAAUGUAGAAAUUCAUUGGUUUUUUUUUAAGUUAACCCGACUUCACGAUAUCAGUAUUGAUUAUUCACGAUUUUGAAAAUUAUUGGUUUAGAUAUUAUAUUUUUUUAUACUUUCACUUAAAAACGAAUCAAUACUAUUAAAAGAGAAAUAGUCUUAAAAAAUCUAAUAUAAACAAGUUGUUGGAGUCACGUAUAACUAUUUUUUUUUGGUAAUACCAUUAAUCAUUCUAACCAUACAAAAUUUUAAAUAUUUUUAAUAUAUCCUAAUAUUAUUCUUUAUGAUAUCUUUACUCAGAAAAAUAUUUCAUCAACCAUGUUUAUGUACAAUAACGUUAAAAAUAUAUAUCAAAAAGUUGUUGGACCUGAUAUAAACGUAAUGGGUCCACAUAUGUUCAGGUAUUUAGGAUCUUAAAAAAAUCACAAUAUCUAAAAAACCGGAAAAAUAUUCGAAACUCCAAACAAAUACCCAAAAAAAUUCAAAUACCUAAAAAUUCAAAAUAUUAUUCAAAGUCUGAGACGAUGAACUGAAAAAUACCCAAUUUUUUUUUUAAUUUGAAAAUUUACCUGAAAUCAAAAACUAUAAUCAUAAACCAAAAACUUAAAAAAAAAUGUCCAUACUAGAGGAAACAUAUUUGAAAUAUCUAAAUAUACCUAAUAAACACAACAUAUUUAUGAUCGGAUCUAGGGUAUGAUCCAGACUCAAACAAAGACAUGCGGGUCAAAAAAAAUCCAAUAUGUUAUCUUCUCUAGACCUGAACUAAACCUAUAUUUUCGGGUCGGUUCAGUUUGUUUUUUUAUCCGGAUAUAAUUAUAAUGCCUAAAAUAAACUUACGUAAAAGUGUAUAUAUAAAAUCUCAAUUAAACUAAUUCAUAGAUUAUAUAACUGUUAAAAAUUAUAUUUUUUGAUAUAAUAAAACUUUGUAUUAUAAUAUAAUCCAAAAAACCCGCACUUGAAAAUCUAGUUUACUAUUAAAAUAUAAUUGUAUGCUUUAAAAUUGUAAACACUAGUUAUUAUUAUGUUAAUGAUCGAAAUUCCGUUGAAAAUUUUAGAGCCAGAAAUGCCUAACCCUAGUUAUUAUAUCCUUACUUAAAAUGGACGGCAGUGUCUCUCACAAACAAAUAAAAAAGUACUGUACUUAGAGCCAGAAGCCAGGUCACAAACCAAAGCAUUGACCCAAAAGCAGUGCGUACCGGAUUUAGUUGUAAUAAUAAAACGAAUAUAAAGACCGGAAACCUGUUAAACCGGUGCACCACUGCCAAAAAAGGACCAACAACAAUUAACGUUAUACACACUACCGAUAUAACAUAUACUUACAAUUUAUUUAAUUAUAAAUAUUGAUCUUCCUCUUAAAAUGUGUCUGAAAUGUUCCCUCACACGUCUCCCUCCUCUCACUCUCUCUCUCUCUUUCUCUCUCUAUCUUCUCCGUUUAACAGUCUCUCGCCGGCGGUAACUUUUUCCGGCGAUGAAACUUCUCUUCCUCAUUCCUCACCGUGAUUUCUAAACCUCCUUCUCUCUCAUCUUAUCACGUGAUCAACAGACUUUAUACUGUUUCUUGUCAAUCUUUUAUAAACCUUUUGUAAACUUUUCCGACAGAGACACAAGAUGUUGGAUCUUAACCUCGACGCUGACUCUCCCGAGUCAACUCAGUACGGUGACUCGUACGCAGAUCGGAAAACAUCAGACGGCUCCGGGAACCGGUCAGAGACGUCCACGUCGUCGGUCAUCAAUGCUGAAGCUGACGACGACUCUUGCUCGACUCGU